Long non-coding RNA from Taeniopygia guttata (zebra finch), 2835 nucleotides. Lineage: Eukaryota; Metazoa; Chordata; Aves; Passeriformes; Estrildidae. The record is from Ensembl.
CUGCCUCGAACCCAUGCAAUUCCUGUUUUAUACUACCUCCUUUAAAAAUUAUUCUAGUGUUUUGAUUUUUUUGUUGUUGUUUUUUCCUGUACUCAGGGAACAGUUUGUUACUUUUAAGCUGCCUCACGGAAACGUGAAGCAAACUGACAGGGUAUCAUUUUGUGUUUUAAUAGGAGAGAGCGAGAGACAGGGAGGAGGCUGGAAUCAUCCAAUGUUAUAAACUUGCCUGUAUCUAUAUCCGGUCCUCUUCUCACUCCUCUUUCCCUGUUCUACAUUUUAAAAAAAGUAAGAAAAAAGAAAGAAAAAGAAAAAAAAAUUAGGCAUAUGUUUUUACUUUAAAAAGUUGUUUAAAAUAUAAUGCUGUGAGAAAUCAACCAUAGGAAAUCCUGGCUCUAUUUAAGUCUGUCAGAACUCCCACUGACAUUACUGGGGCUGAGAUGUCACUUCUAGGUGACACCUGGAGGUGUGCCAGGCUGACUCCUGAUGCUCCUCAGUACCUGUAGGUGGUCACAAGUUGUGGGUAAGCCCUACUCUCGUGGUUGGAUUGUGCUGAGGAAUCGGGCUCUGGUUCCUGGAGUUCUUUCCCCUGGAACUGUUGCCAGUCCUGAAGCACACAGCACACACUCACCUCUCCCUAACAGUGGCAAUUCCAAUGCUUGAAGAAUAAUCUUGUACCAAAGACUUUUCUGUGGAGGAGAAGGAGGCCACAUAUUAUCCAAAAGAAUUUGAACUAGUUGAAAAGCUAUAGGUUUGAAGAGCUGAAUACAUUUUAUUGUCUAAGUAGUUACUAACAGAAGCGAAUAGGACUUGAUUGUAGUAGCCAAUUGCAUAGGUGAGUUGUAUUCAAGAAUUUUAACUACCUUGUUGUUACAAGAGCCUUUAAAGAAAGUUAAAAUACCAGCAGAUAUCUCCAAAGAAUUCCAAGUGUAUUUUUUUUCUCCAGCUUGUAGUUGAUGAACAGUACAGUAUUAAGAAAAAUAUUUUUAAACAGUUUUUUUACUACUUGCUGAAGAAAAAGAGAACUUUUCACCAAAGAUUUAUUUUCAGUCUUGUCAGGCAGAACGUGUAGUGUACAGCUGUUUUUAGUUAGGUAGAGUGUGAAUUAAUCAAAACUAGAGUAAGAAUGUGUAACUGUAGCAUGAAGUUUCACACUUCAUCUUUCAGAGUAGCCUCUUGUGUUAGUUGCAUUCAGAAAGAGCUGAUAUGCAGAUGGUAACUGCUUCUCCAAAGACUUGUUUGCUGUAAGUACUGGCAAUGGGGUAUAAUUUAAUGAUCCUCGUUACAGAUAAAUACUGUAAAUCCUAAACUCUUCCUUCCAAAGACCCAUUCUGUAGUUUAACCUAUGGAUAAUCUGAGAGAAACGGACUUCAUAGAAAAUCUGCCAAUCUUGUAUAGAUGUUUGCAGUUAAAUAGCCAAAGAGUUGAAAAUACUCAGUGUAUUAGAGAGCAGCAGAACUGGAUUCAUCACUUAACAUUUUAUCAAGCUACUUCUUACCAGCAAAUAAAGAAAACCAAAGAUAUUUAAGGUUACCUCAGCAUAUAGGCAAGCUUAGUUAGACAUUAAUUAUUCUGUCUUUUUCUUUAUUUUUAUGUUAACCAAAUAUAAAACACUUCUCCAGAACCCAGUCUACAUUCAUAUGCUUCCCUUUGGCACAGUUAUGAUUUCUACAGAGCAAAAAUUCUCUCCUCAAAAUUCAUGGCCUAGUACUAAUAUAUCACAAGAUUUUGUGAGAGAAAAUUUGUCUUAUUAUUGAAAACACCAACAAGGUAAGCAAAGGAAUAUCCAGAAAUUGAUUAUGUCUCUAUUGAACUUAGUAGCAGAAUCAAUCCUUCAUAAUUGUAACAGUGCAAAAUUUAAAAGUUUAAAUGCUUUAUAGCCUUGAGGCCAACACAUGUGAUUAUAAAUAUGAUCUUACAAAUGAUAAUUUUUUUCAAAGUUUAUACCCAUGGGAAUGAGUUUUUCACUGAAUUUUUCAUUUCAUUUGCCUAGAAAGAGCUGGCAGAACACAGCAGGCAGACUGGUUUCAGGUCUUCCAGGUUUUUCUUCUAUGUUGUGUCUGUAGAAACUGGGUCCUGGAGAAAAAAUAUAAUUUCUUAAUUAUGAAUUUUGCUAAAUAUGUUCUGGAAGAUGAACAUAAAUGUGGAAUUUAGUGUUACACUAUGUGAAUUGAUUUUGUUUAAGUGUUGUAAGAACUAAGGGUCCAUGGCUGGUGUAAUGAGUGUAUGUGCAACCCUUGUGUUAUAAAAAAAAAAAAAAAGCAAAAAUGUUACCGUUGAUGUGACUUGAAAAGCAUCAAAACUUACAGAGGAAACCUCCAAACUGACUUCCAUGGUGAUAGUCUUUGUAAGAAAGGAUCUGCCCUUCAGUGCCACAGCAAGGCCUGGGGUCAAAACUAAAUACUCAAUCUGCCCACAGCUAUACUUGUAUGCUUUCUUCAUGUUUAACAAAUACAAAGCACUGCCAUCUUUCAGGAGUUAUCCAGGACUGGGAAUGUGUGUGCUGUGCAGGACAGGGCACAUCACUUGGUUACUUUUUAAUCGCUCUGUUAUUGUUAUGAGAAAUCUGAAAAAUCUACAUAUCACUUUCAGUAAUUUCCUAUAUUAGCUCUCCAUUUUUUGGAUAACUGAUACUAUUUUUAACAGGAAAGAGUAUCAAGAGAUUGCUUUGCCUGUUUUUCAUUAUUCCUAUAGUUCAUUCCUUCUCUGGGUUUAAUCCCAAGCUUUUGAUAUGAGCUUCAUCAUGUUUGUCUUAUUCAAAUCAGGGUCCUCAUCCUGUUUCUUUUUAAGUCUAUGGGAGAAUUAAUUUGUAUUUCAGUUUGCAUAGUCUGGACAAAC